Long non-coding RNA from Tympanuchus pallidicinctus (lesser prairie-chicken), 2829 nucleotides. RefSeq lists it as uncharacterized. Lineage: Eukaryota; Metazoa; Chordata; Aves; Galliformes; Phasianidae. The record is from RefSeq and is a predicted model, not a curated record. The transcript has 8 exons.
CGUCAUCUUUUGAUCCUGUCGUAAUCUUUCAUAUCCUCAAAACUGGUCACAGUCUCUCAGUUUCGUUCCACUGACAGCUGCUGCUCAAGUGAUUUAACUCCUCCAAAUGAAAGUCUGCUGAAGCCAAUUGUUGAAUGGGGAUUUUCUUCCUAAAGUUAAACCUUGUGUAUUUUCUAACUUCAAGACUAAGCUAGAUACAGCAGCUUCAUCAAGGAGAGAACUGCUGAAUGAGCUCCUGGAACUUUACUGCUGCAGGAUAUGUGAAUGCCUCACCUGUGAGAGUGGGUUAGGUAGCAGUGUGUUCUGGAGAAGUGAUGUCCUUGCCUUCACAGAAGGAUGGUUAUUCCUCUUCCUCUGAUGAACUUUGUUCUUUAGAAAUACCUUGAAUCAACCCCGGACUUGGAAUCUAAUGCAAAGAAUUGGAGAGCUGUCAAGAGCGGUCAUCUGCUGGCUCAUUCUGGCUUUAUUAAAAUGGAAUUUGCUUUGGGAGAUGUCCGUCAGUGCAGAGAGGCACUUGAAACCCAUUGUUUUAUCCUUCUUGUAUUUAAAAAACAAACAGAAGCAAUCCGGAAUGGAAUAUUUUUUUCUCAGUCAGAGAACAUCUAGCAGUUUUGAUCGUCUCCUUCACUGUGUGGAACAGUGAGCUGAGGAGCUGUCUGACACCUUCCUGGAAAUGGAAGGAAGCUGUACGUGCGUGCUGGGACGUUUCUGCUCAAGCUGCCCAGCACAGCGAGGCACAGUGCAGCGAUGCACGCCAGCUGGCAGCACUGCGUGAUCUGAGCAGUUCUAGCGUGCUGUUGGAAUGCACAGUGCAGUGUGCUGGUAGUCCCCAGCACCCUGUGUGGCUGGGUUUGCAGUGGAACUCUAUGUCGGUGUUACCCCAGUGCAGCCAUUGUUAAAACUACUUUGUCACUUGCUGCAAGGAACAUCAAGACUUGGGACUUGAGACUCCCGAAUCCAUUUGCCUGUUGGACCUUGAAGUAUUUCUGCUCGGGAUGGCAUUCACUAGCAAUUUAGAAUUGCAACAGAAAUUUAGUGCUCGUAAUGAAACACAUCAGCCUCCUUUCGUACUGCUGCUGCUGUGCAAACAGUGCUGUACUGAGAAGCAAACAUCCCGGUGGGAUGCUGUUCGUAUUCUCAUGCAGAAUAAAGCAGUGAAAGGGAGCGUCUGUGGUGAGAUGCUCAAGUGAAAUUCCCUGCACCAGCAGCCAGUUUGUGUCCACGUGAUGCACGGUGAAGAGAAGCCUGCAGUUCUUGACCACGGCCAGCCCCUGAAGCUCCAGUCAUGAAGGCCCUGUAUGUCAUGUCCAACGCCAUCUGUCUGUGCUGCCCAUGGCUGUGAUGGGUGCUGCUACCUCAUGUCCCCUCAAAUUGCCAGGCAUCCAAGCUUCUCCUCCUCCACCAGCUCUCCGCUGGCUCCAACACCUUUGCCACCUCCCAUGUCGUGUGGUGGAAAUGCAUGGUGCUGGGGUGGGCCCAAACUCCCACCCUGACAGCAGGCACGUUUCCAAAACCUCUGCUCACUUCCUCAUCCUGCUGGCUCAUGAGAAGAUCCUGUUGUCAGCUCUGCCGACCAGCACAGCAGAGGUGGGAUUGUUACAGGCAGCUGGAAAACAGCAGGGGAAUAACCAUUUCCCCCUUUGGCUGUUAUUUCUUGAGAAAUGCUGUCUGGUGAGUGUUUAGUCAGGGCCUGAUCCACUGAUGGAGCAUCUGGGGAAAGGACCCAGUCAGCCCUGGGAGCACAGGUGAGGGCAGUUCAGUUGUAUGAUGGAAUGAGGGGAGCCUGGCUGCACCUCUCUUAGACCUCAUUGAAGGGCUGACCCUGCAGUGGGCAAGGAUCUCUGGUUGGAGAUCCCUCCCUUGUGGAGUUUUCCCUGUGAGCCUGGAUCUUCAGAGACUGGUGAGCACUUUGUCUUUGUAACACCCUUCUGUUGCGCUAGUCCCUUUGUGGUUACACCUCCUUCCACUGCAUUGAUCAUUCGGAUUGUUACAGACGUCCUCUGCCCCUUCCCACCUGUAAAGCAAACAAGGUGAUGACAGAGCCUUUAUUUGAGAUAUAGGUGCUGUAGAACAGGAUAUCAAAGAAAGAGGAAUCGACUCAUCCCUCCCAGCAACAGUUUGGCAGAAAGUGGUGAGCUGAGGAAUGCAGCCCUUCUGCGUUUGAACUAUGGUGUGCUGAAAGGUGAAAGGGGGCUGAGGGGUGAGGGGAGGAGACCUGUGCAGGCUGACUGUAUGUGUGCUGCUGGGAGCACUGCUGAGAUGGAGAGAGAGGAAGACUCCCUCCACUUGAGGUACUCGUGUGCUCACGCAGUGGUUCAGGCUGUGACCUGGCAAUUCCACUGCACCACCCGUCCUGCACUGUCCAUGUGCCACCUGCAGAUGUUGCCCAGCUGUUGGGCAACUCGCUGUGACCUCCCUGUCUCACUGCUGCCUUGUGCACUGGACUUCACAGCAUCUUGAUGGUGGCAUUGUGCUUCCCAAGGAGUGCACAGAUCUUUCUGAUGGGAGUGAGCAGCAAGGAACCAACUGAAUCAUAGAAUCGCAAGGUUGGAAAAGACCUGUAAGAGUCUCAGCUAUAGAGGUCCUAUAAGGGUCUCAGCUUCCUUCCUGCCCUGUGCUUGACUGAGGGACCCUGCGACCAGCUCAGGAGGUGGCAUCCCAGGUGCUGUCUGUCUGUGGUAGGUUCCAGAGCAAGGAGGCCUCUCCGUGCCAUCGCUGCACAUUGAUUUCAGCCUGUGGCACCAACACUGGGACGCAUGGAUGCUCCAGGAAACAGCUGUGAACCCUGGGGCUGGAAUAAAAAUGCCAAAAACAGCGUAGAAAAAAAAA